RNAcentral lists this long non-coding RNA (542 nucleotides) under Pan troglodytes (chimpanzee). Its description in RNAcentral is "long non-coding RNA NONPTRT001255". Lineage: Eukaryota; Metazoa; Chordata; Mammalia; Primates; Hominidae. The record is from RNAcentral.
GCCAGCGAGGGUGGGCACGGGGGUGAGCGUGGCAAGGGCAGCAGCACCUGCUUGAGACCAAGCCCGGCGACCUGGCAAGAAUGUCAAUCACAUAUCCAGAAUAUCACCUCCUUGGGCACAGCCAGGGCAUGGUCCAUUGAAAAUGUUCCUGAUUGCUGGAAGCUGACGGCUCACCAUAAAAGCCAAAAUGGGGACCUGUCAAAAAUGUUUUAGCCAAACUAUGGCUUGGCUCAGGAAGAUGCCAAGACCAAAGGCUGCUGAACUUUAAGUAUAAACUUGCAUGAAAAGCACAUUGCAGAUCUGAGACAGUGGAGGCUUAGUGGUGAGAACAUGAGCUCUGGAUAGACCUGGCUUCAAGUCUUGGCUCUGUCAUUCACCAGCUGUGUGAAUUUGGGCAAACCACUUUUCUUCUCUGAUGCUCAGUUCCCUCACCUAGCAAAAUGGGUUAUAAUGAUGGCAUCAACUCAUAAGGUUCAUGAGGACUGAGCUAGAUAAUGCAAACAACAUGUUUCAUAUACAAUAAUAAAUAAAAAUGUUGGCUG